CACACACCAUACCACCCCAAGACUGAUGGGAUAAUGCUCAGGGAAUGAUCAGAGGCUCAGAGAGGUGAAGGGUCUGCUCCAGGCCACACAGCUGGGGAGGAAGCUGAGGUUCGGAGAGUGCCAUAGCAGCUCUGGAAAGAGGUUACUCUCUGCUGGAGGAAUAAGAGCACUCCAGUAUGCGUGUGAGCCCUUGCAUUUUUGCCAGAGCUUCAGGCUGUCAGGUCUGGCUGGGCACUGGUGGCUCAUGCCUGUAAUCCUAGCUACUUAGGAGGCUGAGAUCA
Long non-coding RNA from Castor canadensis (American beaver), 281 nucleotides. RefSeq lists it as uncharacterized. NCBI's taxonomy places the organism in Eukaryota, Metazoa, Chordata, Mammalia, Rodentia, Castoridae. The record is from RefSeq and is a predicted model, not a curated record.